This 253-nucleotide ribosomal RNA is filed under the name uncultured bacterium. RNAcentral describes it as "partial 16S ribosomal RNA". It matches the Rfam family "Bacterial small subunit ribosomal RNA", at positions 524 to 776 of the family's 1533-position model. The record is from RNAcentral.
UACGUAGGGUCCGAGCGUUGUCCGGAAUUAUUGGGCGUAAAGGGCUCGUGGGCGGUCUGUUGCGUCGGGAGUGAAAACUUACAGCUUAACUGUGAGCGUGCUUCCGAUACGGGCAGACUUGAGGUAUUCAGGGGAGAACGGAAUUCCUGGUGUAGCGGUGAAAUGCGCAGAUAUCAGGAGGAACACCGGUGGCGAAGGCGGUUCUCUGGGAAUAUCCUGACGCUGAGGAGCGAAAGUGUGGGGAGCGAACAGG